GCAUCCGUAGCUCACUUGGAUAGAGCGCAGGACUCCGACUCCUGAGGCAGAUGGUUCGACUCCAUUCGGAUGCGCCA
This 77-nucleotide transfer RNA is filed under the name Clostridia bacterium. RNAcentral describes it as "tRNA-Arg". It matches the Rfam family "tRNA". From Rfam's summary of the family: Transfer RNA (tRNA) molecules are approximately 80 nucleotides in length. Lineage: Bacteria; Bacillati; Bacillota; Clostridia. The record is from RNAcentral.